UACGGGAGGCAGCAGUGGGGAAUAUUGCACAAUGGGCGCAAGCCUGAUGCAGCCAUGCCGCGUGUAUGAAGAAGGCCUUCGGGUUGUAAAGUACUUUCAGUCGUGAGGAAGGUGUUAAGGUUAAUAACCUUAGCAAUUGACGUUAGCGACAGAAGAAGCACCGGCUAACUCCGUGCCAGCAGCCGCGGUAAUACGGAGGGUGCGAGCGUUAAUCGGAAUUACUGGGCGUAAAGGGCACGCAGGCGGUUAAUUAAGUUGGAUGUGAAAUCCCCGGGCUUAACCUGGGAAUGGCAUUCAAGACUGGUUAGCUAGAGUCUUGUAGAGGGGGUAGAAUUCCAUGUGUAGCGGUGAAAUGCGUAGAGAUGUGGAGGAAUACCGGUGGCGAAGGCGGCCCCUGGACAAAAGGACUGACGCUCAUGUGCGAAAGCGUGGGGAGCAAACAGGGAUUAGAUACC
This 455-nucleotide ribosomal RNA is filed under the name uncultured bacterium. RNAcentral describes it as "bacterial SSU rRNA". It matches the Rfam family "Bacterial small subunit ribosomal RNA", at positions 340 to 786 of the family's 1533-position model. The record is from RNAcentral.